This 270-nucleotide ribosomal RNA is filed under the name uncultured bacterium. RNAcentral's name for it is "partial 16S ribosomal RNA". It matches the Rfam family "Bacterial small subunit ribosomal RNA", at positions 28 to 290 of the family's 1533-position model. The record is from RNAcentral.
GAUGAACGCUGGCGGCGUGCUUAAGACAUGCAAGUCGAACGCAAUUGCUCCGCAAGGGGCGGUUGAGUGGCGAAUGGGUGCGUAACACGUAGGUGACCUGCCCGGAAGUGGGGAAUAACAGUCCGAAAGGACUGCUAAUACCGCAUGCGGUGCACGGGUUUUGAAGCCGUGUUCCAAAGGUACUCGAAAGGGUGCCGCUUUCGGAGGGGCCUGCGGCCCAUCAGCUAGUUGGUAGGGUAACGGCCUACCAAGGCGACGACGGGUAGGGGA